UACGGAGGGGGCUAGCGUUGUUCGGAAUUACUGGGCGUAAAGCGCACGUAGGCGGCGCGACAAGUCAGGGGUAAAAGGCCUGGGCUCAACCUGGGAACUGCCUUUGAUACUGGCGUGCUUGAGUCCGGAAGAGGGUGGCGGAAUUCCCAGUGUAGAGGUGAAAUUCGUAGAUAUUGGGAAGAACACCGAUGGCGAAGGCACUUUACUGGGCUAUUACUAACACUCAGAGACGAAAGCUAGGGUAGCAAAUGGG
This 253-nucleotide ribosomal RNA is filed under the name uncultured bacterium. RNAcentral describes it as "partial 16S ribosomal RNA". It matches the Rfam family "Bacterial small subunit ribosomal RNA", at positions 524 to 776 of the family's 1533-position model. The record is from RNAcentral.